This 490-nucleotide ribosomal RNA is filed under the name uncultured bacterium. RNAcentral's name for it is "partial 16S ribosomal RNA". It matches the Rfam family "Bacterial small subunit ribosomal RNA", at positions 30 to 507 of the family's 1533-position model. The record is from RNAcentral.
AUUGAACGCUGGCGGCAGGCCUAACACAUGCAAGUCGAACGGUAACAGGAAACAGCUUGCUGUUUCGCUGACGAGUGGCGGACGGGUGAGUAAUGUCUGGGAAACUGCCUGAUGGAGGUGGAUAACUACUGGAAACGGUAGCUAAUACCGCAUAACGUCGCAAGACCAAAGAGGGGGACCCUCGGGCCUCUUGCCAUCGAAUGUGCCCAGAUGUGGUUAGCUUGUGGGUGGGGUAACGGCUCACCAAGGCGCCGAUCCCUAGCUGGUCUGAGAGGAUGACAAGCAAAACUGGGAGUGAGACACGGUCAAGAAGCAUACGGGAGGCAGCAGUGGGGAAUAUUGCACAAAGGGGGCAAGAAUGAUGCAGCCAUGCAGCGUGUAUGAAGAAGGCCUUCGGGUUGUAAAGUACGUUCAGCGGGGAGGAAGGGAGUAAAGUUAAUACCUUUGAUCAUUGACGUUACACGCAGAAGAAGCACCGGCUAACUCAGUG